This is a long non-coding RNA of Monodelphis domestica (gray short-tailed opossum), 705 nucleotides long. RefSeq lists it as uncharacterized. NCBI's taxonomy places the organism in Eukaryota, Metazoa, Chordata, Mammalia, Didelphimorphia, Didelphidae. The record is from RefSeq and is a predicted model, not a curated record.
CGGAGCCUUGGACACCUGCAGAGCCAAUAGAGACAAAGGAGCCUGCAGAGGCCUCCCCUCCCCCAGUGUCUGUACACUGUAGAGACGCAGAGAUUGUGCAGAGACACCAGAAACCCCGAUCAUGGAGAGAUAUGAGGGAGGCUACAGAGACCCCCAGGGACCGAGGAGAGACAGAAGUCUCUCGGCCGCUCCCCCACUCAGACAGCACGGCCAUGACCCUGCCGCCCCGGCGGCCACUCUUCGCGGUUCUGAUCCAGCUCUGGAAGCCAGAGCUUUGGGGAGAUGCUGGGAGCCCCGCAGCUCUGCCUUCCGGAGCCAGAGAAGCGGAUAGUUCAGCCAGAGGCACGAGAACCUGGGCAUCAGCGGAGACUUCCUGGAGGAGGCGGCCGCGGGCGGGAGCACAGCCGGAGCAGAGACGGGAGCUGGGAUGGCCCGUGUGAAGAACCGCAAGCGGGCAAUGCUGGAAGAGAGCGUGGGAAGGGGGGAGGGGCGCGACGGCUAAGGACUUGGCGUGGGAUCCACUGGCAGGCCCUGACAGGGAAGGAAGGGAGCUUCUGGCCUGCCACCCGGGAGUUUCCCACUUAUUGUCUCCCUCCACAACGGACAUUUUCGGAAGGACCACCCGGUGGAAGUAGCUGGAGACCCAGAGCCCAGCCUGGGGCCGGGAAAACGCACUUUCAUGAAUUAAAUUCAGCUUCAGACACA